GACAAACGCUGGCGGGGUGCAUGAGACAUGCAAGUCGAACGGGGUUGAUCGGGCUUGCUCGAUCAACCUAGUGGCGGACGGCUGAGUAACGCGUAGGUGACCUACCCGGAAGUGGGGAAUAACUGCCCGAAAGGGUGGCUAAUACCGCAUUUGGUCGGCGAAUCGGAUCGCCGUCCAAAGCCGAAAGGCGCUUCCGGAGGGGCCUGCGUCCGAUUAGCUAGUUGGCGAGGUAACGGCUCACCAAGGCGACGAUCGGUAGCUGGUCUGAGAGGAUGAUCAGCCAGACUGGGACUGAGAACGGCCCAGACUCCUACGGGAGGCAGCAGUCGGGAAUUUUGCCCAAUGGACGAAAGUCUGAGGCAGCAACUCCGCGUGAGGGAUGAAGGCCUUCGGGUCGUAAACCUCUUUUCCCAGGGAAGAUCCAAGACGGUACCUGGGGAAUAAGCCACGGCUAACUACGUG
RNAcentral lists this ribosomal RNA (462 nucleotides) under uncultured bacterium. RNAcentral's name for it is "partial 16S ribosomal RNA". It matches the Rfam family "Bacterial small subunit ribosomal RNA", at positions 28 to 507 of the family's 1533-position model. The record is from RNAcentral.